RNAcentral lists this ribosomal RNA (253 nucleotides) under uncultured bacterium. RNAcentral describes it as "partial 16S ribosomal RNA". It matches the Rfam family "Bacterial small subunit ribosomal RNA", at positions 524 to 776 of the family's 1533-position model. The record is from RNAcentral.
UACGGAGGGUGCGAACGUUAAUCGGAAUUACUGGGCGUAAAGCGCGCGUAGACGGUUAUUUAAGUCGGAUGUGAAAGCCCCGGGCUCAACCUGGGAAUUGCAUUCGAGACUGAAUAGCUAGGGUACGGUAGAGGGAAGUGGAAUUUCCGGUGUAGCGGUGAAAUGCGUAGAUAUCGGAAGGAACAUCAGUGGCGAAAGCGACUUCCUGGACCAGUACCGACGUUCAGGCACGAAAGCGUGGGGAGCAAACAGG